RNAcentral lists this ribosomal RNA (497 nucleotides) under uncultured bacterium. RNAcentral describes it as "partial 16S ribosomal RNA". It matches the Rfam family "Bacterial small subunit ribosomal RNA", at positions 28 to 507 of the family's 1533-position model. The record is from RNAcentral.
GACGAACGCUGGCGGCGUGCCUAAUACAUACAAGUUGAGCGAUGAAGAUUGGUGCUUGCCCCAAUUUGAAGAGCAGCGAACGGGUGAGUAACGCGUGGGGAAUCUGCCUUUGAGCGGGGGACAACAUUUGGAAACGAAUGCUAAUACCGCAUAACAACUUUAAACAUAAGUUUUAAGUUUGAAAGAUGCAAUUGCAUCACUCAAAGAUGAUCCCGCGUUGUAUUAGCUAGUUGGUGAGGUAAAGGCUCACCAAGGCGAUGAUACAUAGCCGACCUGAGAGGGUGAUCGGCCACAUUGGGACUGAGACACGGCCCAAACUCCUACGGGAGGCAGCAGUAGGGAAUCUUCGGCAAUGGACGAAAGUCUGACCGAGCAACGCCGCGUGAGUGAAGAAGGUUUUCGGAUCGUAAAACUCUGUUGGUAGAGAAGAACGUUGGUGAGAGUGGAAAGCUCAUCAAGUGACGGUAACUACCCAGAAAGGGACGGCUAACUACGUG